Pygocentrus nattereri (red-bellied piranha) is the source of this 578-nucleotide long non-coding RNA. The record is from Ensembl. Lineage: Eukaryota; Metazoa; Chordata; Actinopteri; Characiformes; Serrasalmidae.
UUGAUUAUAAUAGCACUUCUGAAACAGUAAAGCAGCUAUGGGGGCAAAUAAAGGUAAAGCAAAGGGGGAAAAAACAUGGUUUACCCAUUUACCAUGGCUACCCAAAUAAGAGGAUCCGGUUACUCACACGGGCCUACCUUACUAAUUAGCUGAUGAGCUGAGUCAGGUGUGUUUAAUGAGACAGUGCUGUGGUCUGGAAAGGAACCUAGUUUUUUAAAUCCCUUCUAUUCGCCAUUUCUUGUUGUUCAGGGAGACUCUUUUGGGCUUGGCUUUAAAUACAUAAAUGACUUGGGGUCAUUCCGCUAUUUUCCAUUGGUAACAGUCUGGCAAGGAGUUAAAGAAAAAAGCCGAGGAGUAAGCCACACACAAUGGCCCAAGAUGAGUUGGCCUGUUAUGUUACAGGAGUUUGCUAAUUAGCUUCUUCCUUCCAUGAAUAAGAGUUCCACCUUAAAUACUGCAGCAGUUACAUUCUGACACCUCUCAGCGGGAAAACUCGAACAGGAAUCUGGUGAAAAGGAAGCAACUUCAGUCUCGUCCUUUUCACUGACAUUAACAUACUGUAAACAACAAUAUAUGGC